RNAcentral lists this ribosomal RNA (751 nucleotides) under Coleoptera sp. NZAC 03013233. RNAcentral's name for it is "eukaryotic LSU rRNA". It matches the Rfam family "Eukaryotic large subunit ribosomal RNA", at positions 590 to 939 of the family's 3401-position model. The record is from RNAcentral. Lineage: Eukaryota; Metazoa; Arthropoda; Insecta; Coleoptera.
CCGAAAGGUCGAAUGGGGAGAUUCAGUCGCGAACCGAGGGUCGGCGUAACCGUCUGGUGCGACGGCGGCCUUUACCGGCCGUUCGCGCACCUCGCGUUACAAUGCCGAUUACGGACGCGUGCACUUCUCCCCUAGUAGGACGUCGCGAUCCGUUGGGUGCCGGUCUACGGUCCGCAGUGUAGCCCGCGAGCGCGGUUCGCCGUCGCUYUCGGACACGCGGUUAACCGACCGGCUCGCCCGACGGUUUACAGAUGGCGGGAGGCCGCGACUUUAGUUCGCGUCCGGCCCGCGGCAAGCUCGCCACGCUGCKYSGGCGAUCGGACCUAGCGCCGAUCCCGGCCGCUGGCGGCUGUUCGCCGCGGAGUUCUCGGACAGACCUCUUUGAAACGCCGAUCUGCGACGCUAUAGCUUUGGGUACUUUCAGGACCCGUCUUGAAACACGGACCAAGGAGUCUAGCGUGUGCGCGAGUCAUUGGGAUAACACUAAACCUAAAGGCGCAAUGAAAGUAAAAGUUCGUCUCGCGCGAACAGAGGGAAGACGGUCGGUCCGCAGAGACUGACCCGCACUCCCGGGGCGUCUCGUUCUCAUUGCGAGAGGAGGCGCACCAAGAGCGUACACGCUGGGACCCGAAAGAUGGUGAACUAUGCCUGGUCAGGACGAAGUCAGGGGAAACCCUGAUGGAGGUCCGUAGCGAUUCUGACGUGCAAAUCGAUCGUCGGAACUGGGUAUAGGGGCGAAAGACUAAUCGAA